Molecule: long non-coding RNA, 3586 nt
Organism: Anopheles coluzzii
Lineage: Eukaryota; Metazoa; Arthropoda; Insecta; Diptera; Culicidae
Exons: 3
Source: RefSeq, a predicted model, not a curated record
AAACAAGACGUACACAUAUGGCUGAACCUUGGUUUAUGCUCUGCCUGGCAGACGCGGGCAACAAAAGUGAGUGCCUCAUGCGUACGGAGAGUUAUCGGUUGUUUUGAGGUGAGCUCCUCCAACCUUGAAAACUUUAUCAAUGGUGAUAUUUACAGAAAAAAAGGAUAGAAUAACAGGCUUUGGUAAAAGAUUUUUUAAGGCCCCCCCUAUGGCAAUCGAAGCAGCCCUGACAAGAAAAACGAGAUAGUGUGCGGUUGAUCGGUCAUGCAAUCUGUCAAAUAUUCAAAAAAUAAAGUUUGUUUACAUUUUGAACCGAACGAUAGCUCUCACGAUGUACAACGGCGAAUGAUUAAAAAAAGGCUACAUCGGUGAUGAAAAUGUUGUGUGUAAUGUGUAAAAUAGACAGCCUUUAAAUUAUAAAUGGUGGUAGAAUCGACUUCGCACGCCUGAAAGCCGUUUAGGGUAAGUAAAACAAAGCUAAUAUUUGUAAUAUUAAAUCAAUUAAAGCGGUAUUUUCUAUGCAGCUGUUGUGCAACCGUGUUGAGCCGGCGAUAGUUAGAAAGAGGGAAGAAAGAAUGCCCGCAAUCAAACUAAACGAUGUUUGAUCAUGGAAAACAAGUUAAAAAGCAUACAAAGCUCGCUCGCCGUUGGACGCUUGGACAAUUACAUUAACAAUCAUUCGGUGAUCAGUUUGCGAAACGUCUUGCCGCACGCCUGGUACAGGCCCUUCUUGUCCGCGUCGGUAUCGAUCGUGGACUGAUCGUUCGGCAGCGUCAGCAUCAUCACCUUCAUCUGCGGGUAGUUGUGGUACGGCACAGUUCCGGUCGUCAUCUCGAUCGCGGUAAUGCCGAACGACUAGAAGCCGUAUCCGUGGUCCCGCUCCGUCUCCUCCAGCGCCAUCCAGCACGACGUGCCGAUAAACGUGUGGUACACCUUCUGCCGCGACAUGUCUCCAUCGGUGGCGAGCCACGCGCUCAUCCGCUAUAUUUAAGGAGCCGUCGUCGCCGGGCAGUAUGAUGGCCACCUUGAUGUCCACGUAAUGAGCAAUGCGAAAUGUGCUCUCAAUUGGCAAGCGCACAGCAAGAAACGUUACCGACAGUCUUUGUCGCCGUGAAAAUGCUUCUAAUGCACGGGUGAGUUGCAUUAUAACUACAAGCAUACGUUUUUUUUCCUUUCUUUAGUUUCAGCUAAUGCCAGACGAACGAUCGAAUGACUGUUGCUUCGGAAGGGAGGUCGCAUUACAGAUACCGACUUGGACAUGAUCCAGUCGGUCGGUUGCAGUUGUUCCAUGGUGCUUCGGAUAAGGCAACAACGGAGAAGCGCUCCGGACGCUCCGGAGAAGCUGAUCGAGAUCGGCGAAGCGGUGUAGUGUUGUGAUAUAGUGAUUGUGUGUACAUUUAAGGUGUAAAGGGUGAUUAAUGCUAGUAACGUUGUGUAAUGUUAUGCAGAACAAAAUGCAGCAUAAAUGGCGAUGAGCCAGCAUUGUUUAAAGGUGCCGGAUGUUAUACGUUAGAGCCGUUCUUUGUGGUGUGAUGUGUUAACAUAUUAAACCAGUAUUAGGAUUAGGAUAUAAUUAGGAUUUAAACCAGUGCCGUUGAAUAAAAUAGUGUACAACAGGUUAGAAAACAUUCGGUGUAUUUUGUUUUGUUUUUUUGAAGCUCUUUCGAUUACCUAUUACGGAAGCAAAUAUGUUUCACUAAUGUGCAAAAGGUAAGGAAUCAGUGAUCGCGUUGGUAGGUAAUUGCUCGUUUACGGUGUUUCUCCAUUUGUAUUUAUUGUUUCUCGCCCGCUGUGUUUGCUUCCCCAUUCCUCAUAAUGGUGCGUACGUUUCGUUAACAAUGUGCAUUAGAUGGUGAUGUUACAUGAUAAGUAAAUGUUGAGCAUGUUGGCGGGUUAAAAAAAAUAUUUUACUUGUCCUGCUCCGUUGGUUGUCUGGUUGUCUGGUUGUCUGGCUGGCUGGCUGGCUGGUUGGAUGGCAGAAUGGCUCACUGGCUGGUUAGUGCAGACUAUGAUCGGAUGCGCAUUUCCCUACGCCGUAGUGCCGGGUGCAUCAUACGUCGGUGUUGGGUUGCUGUUACUGGGCCGAGCGGAUGCGCGUGCACACGUGGGAAUAAACGACACGCAACCGUGGUGAUAUCACAGAAACUAUAUAUUUUGUUCUAUUUCAUCACAAAAAAAUUCUUGCCAUUAAUUUUUCUUUUUAGGUAUUUUAUAUUGCAUCGGUACGAUUAUCAUGUUCAAAGGCUUUAUCGAGAAAUGCCAAUACAUAAAUGGGUUAGUCCGUUUAUAUCGGUUUCUCAAACCCCUGCAAGCAAUGGUCAAUCAUUUCAGUCUUAAACUUUUGACGAACGAAUGCCUGGUCGCUAGCUGUAGCUUCCCAUCGAUGUAGGCACCCGAUCUUCGAGAUUUUACUUCACCUGAUCUAGCCAUCGAACUCGCUGUGCUUCCUUGCUUCUAGUACCGAACUGAGAGCCGCUCGAACACCUAGCUGCUGGGGCACGAGGAUGCCUUCUUCACAACAUGCUCCAGCCAUCGCAAACAGCCAUGUCCGGUGCGGCAUACGGCUUCAGUAAGCUCGUGGAUGAUCAUUCGCAUCCACACCCCAUGCUCGAAUUCACCGCCAAAGAUGAUCCGGAGGAUGCGUCGGCCAUCGUGUUUCGCCGCUGUCCUUUGCAUGCUGUAAAGAAACAUACCUAUUCAUCGUCGGCCAAUGGUGCAGCACGAGCGCAACGUGAUACAUCGUGACAUCAUCCGGAAAACUUGCAGCUGGGGCACGGUGGUGAUCUGAAGAUAGCUGAUUUCGGUUGGUCCGUGUACGAGCCGACCUUGUUCCGGUACGACGCGGUGCGUUUCGCACGACUAUUUAUCGCCCGAGAUGGUACAUGGUCAGCCGCACACAAAAACUGUCGAUCUAUGGAAUUUGGGCGUGCUGGCGUACAAGCUGCUGUGCGGUAAGGCCCCGUUUUUGGCGACCACGUAUGAAGAAUCGUACCGUAAAAUUAUGAAGCUGCAGUUUAAGAUGCCGCCAGAUGUAACGAAGCCGGCGGUCCAUCUGAUCUCGCGACUGUUCGUUAAGGAUCUGGCCAGCCGUAUGCCGCUGACACAUGUUGCGACCAUCCCUGGAUUCUGCUGCAUGUGCACAAAAAGUAAAUAGGUACACUGGUGGACAUAAAAAUAGGAAAAAAAUUUUGGAUGUGGAAUAAAGGAUGUGCAAGUUCUACCGUGGCCUGCGUUGAGUCCUGACCUCAACCCGAUUGAAAAUCUGUGGUCAACUCGCAAGCAUCAGCUAAAGAACCAGCCUGCACGUUCAGCCGAUGAUCUAUGGACACGCUGCAAGGUUAUGUGGAAACGCAUACCCAGAAGCGAAUGCCGUAAGCUCAUCGGCGAUAUGGCCAAACGCUGUCAGGAAGUGAUAGCGAUUAACGGUCACCACAUUGACCGUUAGAAUGUGUUUUCGCUCUGUGGAACACCGCAACACCUCCUCCCAACAACCACUUAAACAGUCCUUUUCAGGGAUACCAAAUAUUUCUGACAAGAACUAUGUCUUUCGGUCACAGAAAAAAGUUCCUAUUUUUAUGUCCACCAG